This is a long non-coding RNA of Etheostoma cragini (Arkansas darter), 158 nucleotides long. RefSeq lists it as uncharacterized. The record is from RefSeq and is a predicted model, not a curated record. The transcript has 3 exons. Lineage: Eukaryota; Metazoa; Chordata; Actinopteri; Perciformes; Percidae.
AACCAUAACAGUUGCCUAAUCGACUUUAAGGCAGUGCUGCGACCGUUGACUUCACGGCACCUAACCAUAACCAUUGUCUAAUCCUAGUGCCUUUCAGGCAGCACAGCCUGGAAGGAGAUGUUGGGGGCUCCAAUACGCUGGUAAACGAAAUGUUCUUC